GAAGCAGGAGUUGGCGCAGCAGAAGACGCCAUUUUGGGGCCGGCCGAGCCCCCUGUGCCGGAACCGGAGGAAGAACCCACCUACGCCCCGGUUCCUCUUCUAAAUGGAUGGCAUCGCGAGAGCUCUCUUCGGUUAAUGUUGUCCGAAACCUCUGAAGGCCGCUCCAUCCUCAGCUCAUACGAUAGAACAAAUAAUCUAACCGUCGAAGAUAAGAAGGUGCUCACACAUUUAAUAAUCGCCGAAGAAAUAAAUCGCAAUGGAUCCCACAAAAUCUCAGCCUCGAGGCUGCGGGAGCUAGCGGAGGAAGUUCGUGUAUGUUUCCCCACAGAGGUGGAGGAGCAUUGGUACGCAGGUCCUGAUGCUCAACGCUCUUGGUGCAGAGGAAAACUUUACGAGAAGUACAAGCACGCGCUACGCAGUGGAAAUUGGCAAUCGCUUCGGAAUUAUGGAAACCUGAAACAGAAGAGGGGAAGGAAGACGAAUACUUCAUCUCAGUUACCAAGAAUGGAAGAGGGAGUUGCGAUCAAAGAUGACAAUUUCGACAUCGGUGCCCCCGAUUCGAAGAAUCGGAAGACGGAAGAAGAAGAAGUGAGAGAGUCUAAGAUUGAUUUAAGAUCAAUGCUCUCAAAGAGCCGCACCGGCCGCAAAAUUUUACGCUCUUACAAGAAACAGAAAAGUUUGAGCGAGUUGAGCCGGAACCUGCUGACAAUUUUCUUGAUACGCUCGGAGCUAAACGGUCAUCUCUCCGUGAAAAUUCCACCCGAGCGAUAUCGCGAAAUGGCCAAGAGCGUCUGCGAAUGCUUCCCGACCGAGAACGAGAUGGACUGGUUCCGACCCAGAAUGGUCCGUCAGGAUGGAGUCGUCGUCCAGCAAAUGGGAAGACUCUACAAUAAAUACAUAUAUUACAAGUACUCGCAGAGAGCAAUAAAGGACGUACGCCAUGGAGUCCUUGCCAAAAGUUUAUUCAUCAAGCAGAGUCAGUGCAAGAAGCGGACUGCCUCGAAUCCUGCGCGCAAGGAGGAACCAGAGUUGGCUCCGGAGAGCAGCCUUUCGAAGCCUUCAAAGUCUGAAAGUGCACUCGCAAAAAAGGUAGAGGAUUCUGCAAACGAUCUGAGAUCACUGCUAUCUCAAACCCCACAAGGCCAACGGAUUUUGAGCUCAUAUGAUGAAGCAAAGCAACUGACAGAGUCGGAUCGUAGCACGUUGACGAUCUUGUUAAUUCGUAUGGAACUGAACGGCACGCUAUCCACCAACAUAUCCCCAGAGCGUUUCCAAGAGAUCGCUCGAGAAGUUGGUCGAUGCUUUCCGACCGAGGUGGAAGAGGAGUGGUACAGACCCAGGUCGCCUGAUCCCCCCUUCGGCAGGCCCAACGCCAGCGGAAGACUGUACGCUAGAUAUCUGUAUUAUAAGUACCAAAAGAAAGCCAUCCGAGACAAACCCAAUGAAGAAGUGGUUGAGGAAAUACCAAUUAAACCAAUCAGAAUAGAGCAUCGGACUGAUCCACAAUCUGAACGCAAGAGAGGACCUGGACGGCCGCUGAAACUUAAUAAUUUGAAACAUUUGAAGCGGAGGAAGAAACAGGAACACGAGGCGUGUGAUUCCAGAAACGAACUGAGAUCGCUUCUGUCUCAAAUCCCUGAAGGCCAGCAGAUUUUAAACUCGUACAAUAAUUCGAAAGAGUUAACUGAAGGAGAUCGGAAAACGCUCUCAAACUUAUUGAUCCUCAAAGAACUGAAUGGUGAUGCAUCUGCUAAAAUAUCCCGAGAACGGUUCCUAGAAAUCGCUCGAAAUAUCUGUAGUUGCUUUCCAACCGAGCUGGAAAGAAUUUGGUAUAAGCCCAGGGUGCGUUGCAGGAACGGAACUUACAUAUAUCCCUCAGGAAAACUCUAUCAAACAUGCAUGUAUUACAAAUAUUCCAAGAAAGCAGACACCGAUAGACGUGCUGAAGAAAAGGCCGAGGGAAUCUCUGAAAAUCAAAAUCGAUUGAAGAAUCGGACUGAGCCCCACCCUGAACGCUCUGAGCCCCACCCUGAACGCUCUGAUUCACGCUCUGAACGCUCUGAUUCACACCCUGAACGCAAGAAAAGACAAGGACAGCCUCCGAGGAACAAUAAUUUGAAACAUUUUAAGCUAAAAAAGAAACGGGUCCAUAACGAACUGAGAUCUCUUCUAUAUCAAAUCCCUGAAGGCCAGCAGAUUUUGAACUCGUACAAUAGUUCGAAUGAAUUAACAGACACGGACCGGAAAACUCUGUCCAUCCUAUUGAUUCGCAAGGAACUGAAUGGCGAUGUAUCUACUCAGAUUUCCCCAGGGCGGUUCCAAGAGAUCGCUCGGAGUAUCUGUCGUUGCUUUCCCACUGAGGUUGAAAAACAGUGGUACAGACCUAGAGGGCGAGGCAAGAACGGAGACCGUCCUCCCACGGGAUGGCUGUAUAGAAAAUUGGUGUAUUAUAAAUAUUAUAAGAAAGCAAUCAUCGACAAACACUUUGAAGUAGUAGCGGAGGAUAUCUCUACAGAUGAAAAGGGAUUAGAGAUGCUUGAAUCAGGCAGCCUAGAACACACGUCUUGA
Molecule: long non-coding RNA, 2568 nt
Filed under: Bemisia tabaci
Lineage: Eukaryota; Metazoa; Arthropoda; Insecta; Hemiptera; Aleyrodidae
Description: lncRNA ENSSSA1UGG000093
Source: RNAcentral